This 460-nucleotide ribosomal RNA is filed under the name uncultured bacterium. RNAcentral describes it as "partial 16S ribosomal RNA". It matches the Rfam family "Bacterial small subunit ribosomal RNA", at positions 338 to 795 of the family's 1533-position model. The record is from RNAcentral.
CCUACGGGCGGCAGCAGUGAGGAAUAUUGGUCAAUGGGCGCAAGCCUGAACCAGCCAAGUAGCGUGCAGGAUGACUGCCCUAUGGGUUGUAAACUUCUUUUAUACGGGGAUAAAGUCCAGUACGUGUACUGCUCUGCAUGUACCUUAUGAAUAAGGAUCGGCUAACUCCGUGCCAGCAGCCGCGGUAAUACGGAGGAUCCGAGCGUUAUCCGGAUUUAUUGGGUUUAAAGGGAGCGUAGGCGGGCGGUUAAGUCAGUUGUGAAAGUGUGCGGCUCAACCGUGAAAUUGCAGUUGAUACUGGCAGCCUUGAGGACAGUAGAGGUAGGCGGAAUUCGUGGUGUAGCGGUGAAAUGCAUAGAUAUCACGAGGAACCCCGAUUGCGAAGGCAGCCUACCGUGGCGCUACUGACGCUGAGGCUCGAAGGUGCGGGUAUCAAACAGGAUUAGAUACCCUUGUAGUC